AACGUAGGGUGCAAGCGUUGUCCGGAAUUAUUGGGCGUAAAGAGCUCGUAGGCGGUUUGUUGCGUCGGCUGUGAAAUCCCCGAGGCUCAACCUCGGGUCUGCAGUCGAUACGAGCAAACUAGAGUGUUGCAGGGGAGACUGGAAUUCCUGGUGUAGCGGUGAAAUGCGCAGAUAUCAGGAGGAACACCGGCGGCGAAGGCGGGUCUCUGGGCCAUAACUGACGCUGAGGAGCGAAAGCGUGGGGAGCGAACAGG
RNAcentral lists this ribosomal RNA (254 nucleotides) under uncultured bacterium. Its description in RNAcentral is "partial 16S ribosomal RNA". It matches the Rfam family "Bacterial small subunit ribosomal RNA", at positions 524 to 776 of the family's 1533-position model. The record is from RNAcentral.